UCCAAACCCAAUGUGAUAGCAACUAGUUAUCACCAUGUGAUCGAGCAAAAUGUGUGUGACACAUCUAGAUGGAAGAGUCUCAAGUACAGACUGGGGAUGCUAGGUGCUGCACCCCUACAAAGAAGGAAACUGAGGAGCAACACUUGAGGAUCAGGGCAACUUCAAGACUCCAAGGAAACUGGGUAGGCCCAGAGCAAAGGGCAUCUCUGCGCAGAGAGGAUCUUGACCUGCAAAGGAGCGAAAGUCCACCGAAACACAGAUAAUCCUUUAUGAUCCACUGGUGUUGGCUUCUUUUUCUUCUUGACUUUGUGCCUGUGGUGAUCUGAAGUUGACAUUGUUUGGCUGUCUCGUGUUUUGCAUGGCGAAAGGUGGCGGCACUAAGAACAAGGCGCGCGAUUUCCCUGAGGCCCAUUCACAUUAUGAGGCUGAAAGCUCCUCCAGAAUUGGCAGCGCAGCUAAAAUCUAAUCAGGUGCUUGUGCGCAACAGACCCAGAAGCAAUUGCAAUCAAGCCAAUUGCUGCAUCUGAUUACACAUGAAAACCCUCGUGCCACUAAGUGUUUUGCAGUCCUUAAUAAAAUGUGCCUGUCUUAGCUCAAAUUG
This is a long non-coding RNA of Numida meleagris (helmeted guineafowl), 601 nucleotides long. RefSeq lists it as uncharacterized. The record is from RefSeq and is a predicted model, not a curated record. The transcript is spliced from 3 exons. NCBI's taxonomy places the organism in Eukaryota, Metazoa, Chordata, Aves, Galliformes, Numididae.